Papaver somniferum (opium poppy) is the source of this 3432-nucleotide long non-coding RNA. RefSeq lists it as uncharacterized. The record is from RefSeq and is a predicted model, not a curated record. The transcript is spliced from 4 exons. NCBI's taxonomy places the organism in Eukaryota, Viridiplantae, Streptophyta, Magnoliopsida, Ranunculales, Papaveraceae.
UCGAGUUCCGACUUCUUAGACCCUUCUCAUUCUUUUCAGUUAGUCUAUCAAAUCCUCAUCAGUUAGUCUCGAUUCAUUUUUCUCUUCCUUUUCCUAUCUCUUCGUUUUCCCGUUUUUAAUUGAAACUGAAUAGGGGUUUAGGGGUAGUUUGAAAUCCGAAAUCGUCCAAUGUAAAAAUGAUUGAAGAAAAAUUGUUGUCAUCAGCAAACCCAACUUUCUUCGUGAAGGAAGAAAAAUCGCUUAAUGCGCAUAAAUUUGGUGAAAUAAAUGAUUUCCAGUUGAAAAAAUGAUUGCAGAAUUUUUCUUAACAAGGGGAGUUCAAAUAUUAGGAUAACAACAAGAUCAUUGAAGAACAGACAUGGCAUAAAGUGGCUUCAAUCACCAGUGAGAUAGUGCGUGCUCUGAUAUGACAUACCUUCAAAAAUAAGUACCAAUAUGUUUUCUUUUAAAUUGGAUUACGUGCAGUAUGAGUAAAUUUGUGAAUCCAAUUACAAUUACAUAUAGGUUACUGUACUGUAUUUGAGUAUCUAUCUUUGAGUUUACAUAGAAUUAAUUUGCUUUGUUUUUGAUCUGCUGGAUCCAUUUCCAGUUGGUGUUAAAAGGUUCUGGAGUACUAAGCAUUUUUCUUAUAUAUAUAAGCAAUUGUCCAGAAAUUUGAUGCAGUGGAAAAGAUGGGAUCAAAUAGAUAUAUGCAAGGGGGUAACAACAUUCUUCAUUGCACUCUAUUGGAGUAUGGACCACACUGCGGUUGUCGACUCUAAUUCGAUUUGUCGUCCUUAACCCCGCUCAAUAAUGUGCAGCUCAUCAUCUUCCGCUUCACCACCAAUCACUUUUGUCCUCUAUAUGCUUAAUUUAAUGUUACAUCUCACCGCCCAGUCACUUUCUUCCUUAUUGAAUGAUAGACUGAUAAACAUGACGGCUCCAGUUCCAGAGCAACCACUUUUUAUUGUUCUUGCCCAGUCUCCAUGGUGUUCGCAAGGCAAGUUCAGACUGAAGGCAGGUCGAGGAGUAGAUCAACGUGAAAAAUCACAUGUUGAGGUAGAAUAUUGUAAUACAUUUGCUUCUUUCCUUUAAGAUGCGGUCUUAAUCUAAAGAUGUUGCAUAGGUAUCAUAAAAAUCCAGCAAAAUUAAGAGUUGUUAUCCUUACCAGCUAUCAUCCUUUUGCAUUGUAGAGGUAAGAUUUGAUUCUGACAUCAUAUGCUGUUGUAGAUUAUUUUAUUUUUUUGUACAGAUUGAUACAGUUAUUUGAAUACUUAUCGUUCUACUCUUGCAAUGUCUACCAAAACAUGACAUACUCACUUUUUCAAAAUUCUUAGGUGGCAAACCUCUGACGAGCAUUAAAAGUUUUUCGCUUACUCAAUUCAUCUACAGACAUCAUUAUCCAUCUUCUUUGUCACGAAAAACAAGAUAACACCACAUAUGCACUACUGAAAAAUAAGUCGUGUAUUACACAACGUUCGGUUCAUGUGUAAAGAUUUCGUCUCAACCCUUCCAGCACGUGUUUACAAACUAGGAACACUUGACAUGCAUUUUUGUUCUUCAUUUAAAUUUUAAUCUAUUUACAUGUCAAGAAUUUGGGUUCGUAAGCUUAUUGGUCUGUUGUUUCUUCUUAUCCUGUUCUUGAUUACUUGUGUGUAACUUUGAUUCAUAUAGUCUGCUCAAUUAUUAUUUUGGUUAAAGCGUUACACAUUAUUUGUUUUAAAGCUCUUUUGAUAUCUUAAAGUUUGGCCGGCUACUAUAUAAACCUUUCUCGAUUUGUCUUUCACUCCCACCGUUGCAUCUACUCGGGUAAUCGACUCCUCUGUUUACAAUUUAAGCAUCUGUAGUUGGUUUUAUCUCGGUCGUUCACAUAGUUCCAGGUAUAUCUAGGGCCUAUCAAUCAUAGCCUUGACAUUUUUACUCUGCUAAGCAUACAAUGUGGUAUUUAUCCGAUUUUCCAUGCUUACGCAGAUGCUUCAAAUGGGUUUCAGAUUCACUGCAAUCCCUCCAAAAGGCUUCCACAUCUCCAGGAACCACCUACAAGACCUUGGACCAGCUCCCGAAUUGGUGAACAGUACCCAUGGCAGGUUCAAGUCAUAUCUAGAAAAUGCAAUGAAGCGGAUUUCUUGGGAAAGACGAUAUUACCAUCUUGGAUAAUCCAUUUCUCGACGAAAACACGAGUUUUUCCUCAAUAUUAUUAUUAAAAUUUGGUUGCACCAUUUAUUUACAUUCCUGAAAUAAAGUAACAAUCGAUUUUCCAUGGGGAGGAAAUUGAAGCCCCACUAAGCAUCAGUGUGGUCAAGUUACCUAACACAGACGCACCACCUGAUUUUAGGAACAGUAAGUGUAAAAAUGCCUCUCAUUCUGAUGAUGAUCAAGAUCAACGCGAACUAAAAAAAUUACUCUCCUGCAAAAAAUUGGUAAUGAAACGUCCGACUAUAUCUUUGGUGAAGUAUGAUUGCUGUAUAGUAUAGUGAUGCGCCCUUGGUGAUACAGCAACCGAGCUACAGACGUGAACUGCUAGAAGCCUAGAACUUUGAAGCAGGAUUCUAUAUAGCAUUCAUAUCUGUUUAUUUGAAUCUAGCUCGACCUUUUUAACAAUUUAUCUAUUAUUGGAUUUAUGCUUUAAUUUCUAUCAAGAUUUUUCAAUAUUCUGUUCAGAUGUGUGUUCAAAUUCAAGUAACCUUUUACUGCAUCUAGCUUUUGUUUUCCCAUAUAUAUAUAGUUGCUUUGGUGAUUUUCACGUUUGUAUUCUUUCAAUCAAUUGGUUAAUACCCUGUAAUUGAAGUUGGAAAUUGGUGUCAAUAUUGAGAUGCAAGAACUGCAGGUGGUGUUGUGGUUCCUUCUGGUGGUAAUGAAUUUGAGGUGUUGAAGCUGCAGAUGUUGUUGUUGCUGUUUGAAGUGUGAAUUGAAUUAAAUGGGAUGUUUACUGCUGCAAGGAGCUGAACUGGGUGUGUUCAAGGGUUACAAAGGUGAAAUUGCAAGGAUGAUGUCGUGUGUUGUUUGCAGUUGGAACUGAGCUGAAGUUGCAGUUGAAGAUGAUGUUGCAGGUUAGAUGGCUUGAGCUGUGAAUGGAUCUAAGGUGUUGCUUGCAGUAUUAGAGAGAAGUUGGAGUUGAAAUGUUUGAGUUACUGCUGGAGAAUUGAGGAGAGUAUUGAUAUGCAGAUGCUCUGGUAAUGGGUAUUGCAGCUGGAGUUGGAACAACUGCAGGUAUUGCUUUUUAGGCUUGGGACGGCCUGUUCUUCAGUCUCUGCUUUUGAUUUCAGCCUGCUAAGCAACGCAGUCCUGUAGUUUUAGCUUGGCAGGUGUUGUUAUGGGGCUGUUUUUGUUUUGCGUCUGUAAUUCUUUUGGCAGAAUCAUGUUGAUGUGAUCUGAUUUCUGUAAUUUUUUUUCUGUUGGCCAGUCCAAAUAUUUUUUUUUUCCUUCUUAAUAUAACGAUUUUUUUUUGGUUAA